UACGUAGGGUCCGAGCGUUGUCCGGAGUUACUGGGCGUAAAGCGCGCGCAGGCGGCCUGCCAAGUCCGGCGUGAAAGCCCCCGGCUCAACCGGGGAGGGUCGUUGGAGACUGGUGGGCUUGAGGGCGGUAGGGGCCAGUGGAAUGCCCGGUGUAGUGGUGAAAUGCGUAGAGAUCGGGCGGAACACCUGUGGCGAAGGCGGCUGGCUGGGCCGACCCUGACGCUGAGGCGCGAAGGCGUGGGGAGCGAACGGG
This 253-nucleotide ribosomal RNA is filed under the name uncultured bacterium. RNAcentral describes it as "partial 16S ribosomal RNA". It matches the Rfam family "Bacterial small subunit ribosomal RNA", at positions 524 to 776 of the family's 1533-position model. The record is from RNAcentral.